UACGUAGGGGGCAAGCGUUGUCCGGAUUUAUUGGGCGUAAAGAGCGUGUAGGCGGCCAGGUAGGUCGGUUGUGAAAACUGGAGGCUCAACCUUCAGAGGUCGACCGAAACCAUCUGGCUAGAGUCCGGGAGAGGAGAGUGGAAUUCCUGGUGUAGCGGUGAAAUGCGCAGAUAUCAGGAAGGACACCCGUGGCGAAAGCGGCUCUCUGGAACGGUACUGACGCUGAGACGCGAAAGCGUGGGGAGCGAACAGG
RNAcentral lists this ribosomal RNA (253 nucleotides) under uncultured bacterium. RNAcentral describes it as "partial 16S ribosomal RNA". It matches the Rfam family "Bacterial small subunit ribosomal RNA", at positions 524 to 776 of the family's 1533-position model. The record is from RNAcentral.